GACGAACGCUGGCGGCGUGCUUAACACAUGCAAGUCGAACGGAAAGGCCCUGCUUUUGUGGGGUGCUCGAGUGGCGAACGGGUGAGUAACACGUGAGUAACCUGCCCUUGACUUUGGGAUAACUUCAGGAAACUGGGGCUAAUACCGGAUAGGAGCUCCUGCUGCAUGGGGGGGGUUGGAAAGUUUCGGCGGUGGGGGAUGGACUCGCGGCUUAUCAGCUUGUUGGUGGGGUAGUGGCUUACCAAGGCUUUGACGGGUAGCCCGCAUGAGAGGGUGACCGGGCACAUUGGGCCUGAGAGACGGACCAGACUCCUACGGGAGGCAGCAGUGGAGAAUAUUGCACAAUGGGCGGAAGCCUGAUGCAGAAACGCCGCGUGCGGGAUGCCGGCCUUCGGGUUGUAAACCGCUUUCGACUGUGACGAAGCGUGAGUGACGGUAAUGGGUAAAGAAGCAACGGCUAACUACGUG
RNAcentral lists this ribosomal RNA (468 nucleotides) under uncultured bacterium. RNAcentral describes it as "partial 16S ribosomal RNA". It matches the Rfam family "Bacterial small subunit ribosomal RNA", at positions 28 to 507 of the family's 1533-position model. The record is from RNAcentral.